UUGGAACAUAGAUGGGAGGAGUAAACAGAAUAGAAUUCUGGACGGAAGAGGAAGUGAGGUCAGACUCUGCUCUGCUCCCAGAGAGACCCGACAGCUCUGCUGGAGCAGAGACACCAUGCUCAGCUCUCCCAGGCAGAUGCACGCAAUGAAGCUCCUCCAAUCCCGGAUGGAUGUAGGCUAGAAUCUUCCCGCUCACCAGGCAUCUCUACACCCAUCCUGAGGUUCUUGUCAUCUAGAUGUGAAGGGAAUACACAUGGCCUUCCAAGCACUAGGCCGCAAGAAUCCUGUGCAGCCCCCACCCCCACCCUACCCUGUAUCAGCCAGCCAUGCUGUUCUGGCUUCUUUUAUGUCAACCUGACAGAAGCUCAAGUUAUCUGAGAGAAAAGAAACCGCAAUUAAGAAAAUAAAAUAAACCUUUCCCUCAAGUUGA
Molecule: long non-coding RNA, 430 nt
Organism: Alexandromys fortis (reed vole)
Lineage: Eukaryota; Metazoa; Chordata; Mammalia; Rodentia; Cricetidae
Exons: 2
Source: RefSeq, a predicted model, not a curated record